RNAcentral lists this long non-coding RNA (486 nucleotides) under Lathyrus oleraceus (garden pea). Its description in RNAcentral is "Pisum sativum (pea) long non-coding RNA (PSAT_LNC029827)". Lineage: Eukaryota; Viridiplantae; Streptophyta; Magnoliopsida; Fabales; Fabaceae. The record is from RNAcentral.
UCUGAUUUCUUUUCCCUAUACAUUGAUUAAUGAGGUGUUGGUGGGGGAAUUGAGAAUUUUUUAAUUUUUGAAUCCGCAAGAAUCUCGUUGGUGCAUUUAAUGAUAAUGUAUGGAUAUGGGAUUUGGCCGCAUGCGUACGCUUUCAAAGCCAUUUUGAAAUUUGUUCCAGUUUUUCUUUUUUUCUUUUUUUAAUAUUCUUUAUUGUCACAUGGCAGCUUAGAUUAGAUGACAUUUAUUUUUUAUUCUCUUCAUUAUUUCCAUGGCAAACCGCAUGGCUAUAAGGUAGAGGCACAACCUUAUCUCCCUCCUUGUUGUUUUCAGUAGUGUAUGUUGCCCCCAGGGUUUCUAUUGGGCCUUAGGAUCCCUCAAACUUUUUUUAUUUAUUGUUUUUGUUUAUGAUAACUUUAUUUUUGUUUUCUACUAUUUCUUUCCCUUUUCUUUCAAAAAAAAAAGAAGCAAUUUCUAUUUAAUUUAAAUAAACUUUUG